GAGGGCACGUCUGCCUGGGUGUCAC
Molecule: ribosomal RNA, 25 nt
Filed under: Ceropegia ballyana
Lineage: Eukaryota; Viridiplantae; Streptophyta; Magnoliopsida; Gentianales; Apocynaceae
Also listed under: 1 other name
Description: partial 5.8S ribosomal RNA
Source: RNAcentral